UAAGAAAACCCUUGGGCAUGCCUAAAGCCCAAGCUCCUUGCAGCCGAAGAAUGCGCCCUAUCCAAAACAGAACCAGGUCAAAACACUCAGCAACACAUUUUAUCGGGGUGUUCACGCUUUUCUCCUUCCCUCAUACGAACUCUUCUUCACUUUCACUUCCACAACUUAAAGAACUUCAACAACGUUUUCUCUUUUGUUCACCCUCAUCUCCAAUGUUCAAACGAAAACACCAUCAAAAUGGAAUCCGAAAACCAAAUAUUAAUCACCAUCACCGAAAUCUCCUUCAACUCAAAUUCAACAUCAUCUUCAAUGAAUCAGAAUCAUGGAAUCCGUGCGCGAGGUUGAACGACAUCAAGAGAUUCAAAUGAACAAGAGAAGAAGACUUACCAAGUUGAAUGCUCUAUCGCGGUGGUUCUCCGGCGAAAACAAGUUUUGCUUGGUAUGGACACUUCAGGAUUAUGUGAUAUCAAGGCUUGAAGAUCAAGAUGGUGAUUUAAGGAUAAGAGGUUGACUUUGGUCAUCUAAUUGACCAAAAGUUAACAUUUGACUUGGUCAACUAUAGGUUAGAAACUAGGGUUUUCUUCUUGUUUGAUGUAUAUGUAAGGACUUGUAUUUGAUGACUGGAUGAAAUGUAAUGUAAAAGAGGUUUUGAAUGAACGAUGACUUGAUUUUUUCUA
Lathyrus oleraceus (garden pea) is the source of this 677-nucleotide long non-coding RNA. RefSeq lists it as uncharacterized. NCBI's taxonomy places the organism in Eukaryota, Viridiplantae, Streptophyta, Magnoliopsida, Fabales, Fabaceae. The record is from RefSeq and is a predicted model, not a curated record. The transcript is spliced from 2 exons.